This 21-nucleotide small RNA is filed under the name Arabidopsis thaliana (thale cress). RNAcentral describes it as "ATSL115280". Lineage: Eukaryota; Viridiplantae; Streptophyta; Magnoliopsida; Brassicales; Brassicaceae. The record is from RNAcentral.
AAAAGAAAAGCAAAAAAAAAC